This 305-nucleotide ribosomal RNA is filed under the name uncultured bacterium. RNAcentral's name for it is "bacterial SSU rRNA". It matches the Rfam family "Bacterial small subunit ribosomal RNA", at positions 333 to 654 of the family's 1533-position model. The record is from RNAcentral.
AACUGCCUACGGGGUGCAGCAGUGGGGAAUAUUGCACAAUGGGGGGAACCCUGAUGCAGCGACGCCGCGUGGGUGAAGGAGUAUUUCGGUAUGUAAAGCCCUAUCAGCAGGGAAGAACAAUGACGGUACCUGACUAAGAAGCACCGGCUAAAUACGUGCCAGCAGCCGCGGUAAUACGUAGGUGGCAAGCGUUAUCCGGAUUUACUGGGUGUAAAGGGCGUGUAGGCGGGAAAGCAAGUCAGAUGUGAAAACCAUGGGCUCAACCUGUGGCCUGCAUUUGAAACUGUUUUUCUUGAUUACUGGAG